This 404-nucleotide ribosomal RNA is filed under the name uncultured bacterium. RNAcentral's name for it is "bacterial SSU rRNA". It matches the Rfam family "Bacterial small subunit ribosomal RNA", at positions 355 to 775 of the family's 1533-position model. The record is from RNAcentral.
UGAGGAAUAUUGCACAAUGGGCGCAAGCCUGAUGCAGCAACGCCGCGUGAGGGACGAAGGCCUUCGGGUCGUAAACCUCUCUUCUGAGGGACGAGUAAGGGCGGUACCUCAGGAAUAAGUCUCGGCUAACUACGUGCCAGCAGCCGCGGUAAAACGUAGGAGGCGAGCGUUAUCCGGAUUUACUGGGCGUAAAGCGUACGCAGGUGGCUUCGUGAGUCGGACAUGAAAGCUCCUGGCUUAACUGGGAGAGGUUGUUCGAUACUGCGGGGUUUGAGGUUGGGAGAGGGACGUGGAAUUCCCGGUGUAGUGGUGGAAUGCGUAGAUAUCGGGAGGAACACCAGUGGCGCAAGCGGCGUCCUGGCCCACACCUGACGCUGAGGUACGAAAGCGUGGGUAGCAAACAG